Molecule: ribosomal RNA, 253 nt
Filed under: uncultured bacterium
Lineage: Bacteria
Description: partial 16S ribosomal RNA
Rfam family: Bacterial small subunit ribosomal RNA
Source: RNAcentral
UACGUAGGGGGGCAAGCGUUGUCCGGAUUUAUUGGGCGUAAAGAGCGUGUAGGCGGUUCGGUAGGUCCGUUGUGAAAACUCGAGCUCAACCUCGAGACGCCGAUGGAAACCCUCGAACUAGAGUCCGGAAGAGGAGAAUGGAAUUCCUGGUGUAGCGGUGAAAUGCGCAGAUAUCAGGAAGAACACCCGUGGCUAAGGCGGUUCUCUAGUACGGUACUGACGCUGAGACGCGAAAGCAUGGGGAGCGAACAGG